This 537-nucleotide long non-coding RNA is filed under the name Monodelphis domestica (gray short-tailed opossum). RNAcentral describes it as "lncRNA (ENSMODG00000034886.2)". Lineage: Eukaryota; Metazoa; Chordata; Mammalia; Didelphimorphia; Didelphidae. The record is from RNAcentral.
ACAGAACACACAUUUAGUCGCUGAUACCUGCCCAGACCUCUUAGAAGAGCCUAUUCAGCUACAUUAGUUGGGGGUUACCUUGUAUUUCCAAACGGUUUAGUUUUGCUCUGUUUUUGCUGUUUGCUGCUGAAGCAAUUAGAAAAGACAGACUUCGGAUUCAGAAGGAGCUGCAUUCAAACUCUCCCUCCAACAAAUUCUGCUUGUGAGGCAGUCAUCAAGCAAUUAUAAAACACAGGCACUGUGUUAAACACUGGGGAAACACAGAGCUGCAAAGAUUUGUCUAUGACUCCAGGGAGUACAUUAAUUCCCUUCUUCAUUUUCUUUGUGCUUUCCAGGGAACCAAGUAGACAUGAAGAGGUUCCAAAUAAGAAUGCCACUCAUCUCAGUUUGGGAAUCUUAAGCCCCAUGUUUGAGAUGCUCCUAAAUAAAAACACAUUUUAUAGUAUCUUUGUCUUUCAGUAUUUCUUUUCCAGACUUCUGGGGUUAAUGUAGGCACUUUCAAGAAAAAAAAAUAAAGAGGGGACAACUACGUGACCA